GUUGAAACAUCGGUUCCCAUACGAUCACGGAAGUUAAGCACGGACGAGCCUGGUCAGUACCUACAUGGGUUACCGCUUGGGAUUACCAGGUGCUGUAAG
This is a non-coding RNA of Acanthosepion pharaonis, 99 nucleotides long. Lineage: Eukaryota; Metazoa; Mollusca; Cephalopoda; Sepiida; Sepiidae. The record is from the annotation of a GenBank genome assembly.